CAUCCCAGUUCUUAAGUCAAUUUGCGGUUAUUUACUUUUGGGUUACUUUGACCUUUUACCGUUUUAAGUAACCGUUUACUAUUUAAGACUCCAAAAGUUGACUUUUCUUCCGUUUGGAAUUUGGGAAAACUUUCUUCAUGAAAGUUGUAGAGGACGUUAAUACGAGUUCGUAGACAUGCUAAACGUUAAAAUUGGAGUUAGCAUGAAAAAGUUAUUAGAUAAAAAGAGUAGACUUUGUUUGGUAAAGAGUGGUGAAUUGUUUUAGUAGGUAUUAUUUUUGGGGUGUUUUAUUGUUGGAGUGGGAUUUUAAGUGAUGGACCGGGUCAAAAAGGGAGUCAAAAGGCCCAGCUCAUUCUCUCUCUCUCUCUCNNNNNNNNNNNNNNNNNNNNAGAGACUGCCGGACCACCCCAGCUCGGACCCUCGCCGCCCCCUCUCUCUUUCUAGGCCUGUGACCGCACGCGGGACGCCGCCGAUUGAGAGAAAUCCCACCGAGAACACCGACUGCCAACUCGUCGGAAAUCCCACCUCCGGCCACCAAAGUUCAUGAUUCUUGGCUCAUAUGGUAGCUCUCAUCAAGGUGAGUAAUCCCUCAAAAGAAAUUGGUCCAAUUCGAUCUUGUUAAUGAGAAAUGUUUAAUUGAAGUUGUAGGGAUUUAUGGAUGUUUUAGUUCGAUUACCCUAGUUAGCCUUAGAAUUGAACUAAGUGCUAGUUAUGAAAGUUGUUUUGCUUGAUGAGAGGAUUAUUCUGUUAAAAUUUGGGAGGCAUUGGACGCCGCCGGAGUUCAGCUGCCCGCCGCCGCUGCCGGUAGAGCAGGCGGCAGCGCUGCCCCUUAGGGGUAGCUUUUCAUGUUUUUGAGUUUUUUUUUAUGAGAGGAGUUUAAUGAAGUAAAGUUUGGAAUUUUUGAAAGAGUUUUGAUAAGGUUUGAGAUUUUUCAAAGAUUAAAGAUUGGAAUGUUAGAAUUGAUGAUUUAAGGUUGUGGUUGAGUUUGAUGUGAAUCCGGUGAGUUUAACCCUAAUAAGAGUAGUGGGUUAAACAGAAGAGAGUUAGAUUUUUUUAUUAACGUAUUUAUUUUCCAGAAUUGAAGUUUGGUCCUAAGCAUGGUUGUUGUGCCAGGAUUCGAGGAGACCUCGCUUGAGUGGCGAUUCGGAUUUCGUCAGGCUUAAAUCUAUGAGUGGACAUUUUGGUUUUUAAUUAAUAUGCAUGCAUAAUUUUAUAAGUUGUCUAUUAUAUUUGUCCAAGUUUAAAUUAUAAUUUCAGCUUUUGAAUUGGUUAUAGAUUUGAGCUUGGGUAAGAGUUUUGGUAUUUGAAUUAUGAUAUUCUUUUGACCUCUGGAUUUGAGAUUUCUUUAAAGAUUUGAGUAUUGUCUAAUUUUUGAAACAUGUUAAUGAUAUGAGUUGUUUAUUUAUUUGAGCAUUUUAACGUGUGGGACACGUCAUUGAAUUUAAUUAUUUUAUUUGCUCUUUGAAUUCUUUGAGUAUGGUUGGGAAUCGUACUUAUGCUUUAGUUAUGAGUUUCGGGGAAACUCACAUGGAUUUAUGUUCCUUUAUUUAUGCCAUACUUGUUGGAUUGUUAUUAUUCAUGCUAGCAUGUCGUUCCGUCUUUCGAGGUGAUGUAGCUUCCAUGUUUUAAGUGGGGUUACUCAAGCCCUUUCCACCUUCGGGUGAUGUGAUGUAGUCGACAACAUCACACAAGCCCUGCACUCUCUCGGUUAUCAUAACGUGAAGGUGUAGGGAGUAUGGGAGUACUUUUGCCUAGGAGGCACCCGAGCUUGGGAGGCUCACUUGUAUGGCUAUAGUUGCUUCUUAAUUAACAUUUAUUGUCUUGACUAGCGGGGCUAGUCCAUCUUUUCGAUAUUUCAUUUUACGAAGGUUUUUAUGCACCUUUAAUGUUGUUUUUGACUAGCGGGGCUAGUCCAUUAUUAUUUAUCUUUGUCGUUAUUUUGACUAGCGGGGCUAGUCCGUUUUCUUGGGAUUUUCUUUAUGAAGGUAUUAUCAACGCUUACAUGCAACGGAUUUCUUGAUUAUUGGAAAAUGGGAAAGUAAUUAAGUUUGGUUAGUUAUGUUGCGAUUAGUUACUUGAUUAUUUUUCGUCCACUCACUCUAACGUUUUAAAUUACUUUUCCCUGGGUCCUUUGGUUUUAAAUGCCCAGUUUGCAGGCUAAGUUAUUUGAGGUCGAGCAUACAUGGAGUCAAGGCAUAGUCAGAGGUUGCUUCCGCUUAUUCUUUAGUCAUUGUUUUUCGUUUAACUUUAGAUAUGCUCUGAUAAUCAGUUAACCAAUUAAUGUUGGUUAUUGUUGGUUGUGGGAUUAGUUUAGUUGAGUAAUUGUUAUAUUGGGAGAUGUGUUGAACUUAGGGAGCAGGAAGGUUUCAGGUGUUGAGGAUGAAUGUUUGUUUAUAGAAGUAUUAAGUUGGAUUUUUCAGGUAAGGGUUGCUUCCGCUUAUUCUUUAGUCAUUGUUUUUCGUUUAACUUUAGAUAUGCUCUGAUAAUCAGUUAAUCAAUUAAUGUUGGUUAUUGUUGGUUGUGGGAUUAGUUUAGUUGAGUAAUUGUUAUAUUGGGAGAUGUGUUGAACUUAGGGAGCAGGAAGGCUCUAGGUGUUGAGGAUGGAUGUUUGUUUAUAGAAGUGUUAAGUUGGAUUUUUCAGGUAAGGGUUAUCCAUUUUCAUGGAAGGUUAUGCCGAAUUUUUGGUUAAUUUUCCUUGAAGGUGGACCCCGCAGGAUUUAUCUCGGGUUUCAAGGUGAAAUUCGGGGUGGGUCCUGUCAACCUACCCGAUAGAUAUCUCCAGAAAAAAGUUUAAAACGGAAGAGUUUUGAAAGAAAGUUUCCGUUGAGGUUUUAAUAGGUGAUUAGCAAUUUUUGAUACUUUAAUUUGCUAUAUUGUAUUUUAGUUAUGAAUUUCUCUAGACAUAUGUGAGAAUUAUUUGUUCUGUUUAGAAUUUGAGAAAAAAAGGCCGCAGCAAGGCGCGGCCAGGUUUUUGCCUAGUGAGGUUUAUAGCUAUAUGACUGAAGUCACUAAACAUACUAAAACCGUCCCCCGCCCUGGUAGAACCGUGAGUUUGGUAAUUAUACCUUGAACGAGUUUGUAUUACAGUACCUAUAUCCCAUGUCAAAUCAUAUACAAAGAAUAUUACAUAAUACUCAAGAAACCAAAACCACAAAUAAGAACAUGUAAUUGAAUUGGCACAAGUAAUGAACUUGGAAAUCGCUGAAUUGUUUGAUUGAUAGGGGCUUGCAGGAGCAACCUUCUAAGACAGAAACCAUA
RNAcentral lists this long non-coding RNA (3258 nucleotides) under Fragaria vesca (wild strawberry). RNAcentral's name for it is "long non-coding RNA (FVES_LNC002385)". Lineage: Eukaryota; Viridiplantae; Streptophyta; Magnoliopsida; Rosales; Rosaceae. The record is from RNAcentral.